Molecule: ribosomal RNA, 253 nt
Filed under: uncultured bacterium
Lineage: Bacteria
Description: partial 16S ribosomal RNA
Rfam family: Bacterial small subunit ribosomal RNA
Source: RNAcentral
UACGAAGGGGGCUAGCGUUGUUCGGAAUUACUGGGCGUAAAGCGCGCGCAGGCGGUUCGACAAGUCAGUGGUGAAAGCCCGGAGCUCAACUCCGGAACUGCCAUUGAAACUGCAGAACUUGAGGAUGAGAGAGGUGAGUGGAAUUCCCAGUGUAGAGGUGAAAUUCGUAGAUAUUGGGAAGAACACCGGCGGCGAAGGCGGCUCACUGGCUCAUUUCUGACGCUCAGGCGCGACAGCGUGGGGAUCAAACAGG